AGACCCGAAACCCGGUGAUCUAGCCAUGGGCAGGUUGAAGGUUGGGUAACACUAACUGGAGGACCGAACCGACUAAUGUUGAAAAAUUAGCGGAUGACCUGUGGCUGGGGGUGAAAGGCCAAUCAAACCGGGAGAUAGCUGGUUCUCCCCGAAAGCUAUUUAGGUAGCGCCUCGUGAAUUCAUCUCCGGGGGUAGAGCACUGUUUCGGCUAGGGGGCCAUCCCGGCUUACCAACCCGAUGCAAACUGCGAAUACCGGAGAAUGUUAUCACGGGAGACACACGGCGGGUGCUAACGUCCGUCGUGAAGAGGGAAACAACCCAGACCGCCAGCUAAGGUCCCAAAGUCAUGGUUAAGUGGGAAACGAUGUGGGAAGGCCCAGACAGCCAGGAUGUUGGCUUAGAAGCAGCCAUCAUUUAAAGAAAGCGUAAUAGCUCACUGGUCGAGUCGGCCUGCGCGGAAGAUGUAACGGGGCUAAACCAUGCACCGAAGCUGCGGCAGCGACACUCAGGUGUUGUUGGGUAGGGGAGCGUUCUGUAAGCCUGCGAAGGUGGCCUGUGAGGGUUGCUGGAGGUAUCAGAAGUGCGAAUGCUGACAUAAGUAACGAUAAAGCGGGUGAAAAGCCCGCUCGCCGGAAGACCAAGGGUUCCUGUCCAACGUUAAUCGGGGCAGGGUGAGUCGACCCCUAAGGCGAGGCCGAAAGGCGUAGUCGAUGGGAAACGGGUUAAUAUUCCCGUACUUGGUGUUACUGCGAAGGGGGGACGGAGAAGGCUAUGUUGGCCGGGCGACGGUUGUCCCGGUUUAAGCGUGUAGGUGUGUGUUCCAGGUAAAUCCGGUUCACUUUAACACUGAGGCGUGACGACGAGGCACUACGGUGCUGAAGCAACAAAUGCCCUGCUUCCAGGAAAAGCCUCUAAGCAUCAGGUAACAUCAAAUCGUACCCCAAACCGACACAGGUGGUCAGGUAGAGAAUACCAAGGCGCUUGAGAGAACUCGGGUGAAGGAACUAGGCAAAAUGGUGCCGUAACUUCGGGAGAAGGCACGCUGACACGUAGGUGAAGUGAUUUACUCACGGAGCUGAAGUCAGUCGAAGAUACCAGCUGGCUGCAACUGUUUAUUAAAAACACAGCACUGUGCAAACACGAAAGUGGACGUAUACGGUGUGACGCCUGCCCGGUGCCGGAAGGUUAAUUGAUGGGGUCAGCGCAAGCGAAGCUCCUGAUCGAAGCCCCGGUAAACGGCGGCCGUAACUAUAACGGUCCUAAGGUAGCGAAAUUCCUUGUCGGGUAAGUUCCGACCUGCACGAAUGGCGUAAUGAUGGCCAGGCUGUCUCCACCCGAGACUCAGUGAAAUUGAACUCGCUGUGAAGAUGCAGUGUACCCGCGGCAAGACGGAAAGACCCCGUGAACCUUUACUAUAGCUUGACACUGAACAUUGAGCCUUGAUGUGUAGGAUAGGUGGGAGGCUUUGAAGUGUGGACGCCAGUCUGCAUGGAGCCGACCUUGAAAUACCACCCUUUAAUGUUUGAUGUUCUAACGUGGACCCGUGAUCCGGGUUGCGGACAGUGUCUGGUGGGUAGUUUGACUGGGGCGGUCUCCUCCUAAAGAGUAACGGAGGAGCACGAAGGUUGGCUAAUCCUGGUCGGACAUCAGGAGGUUAGUGCAAUGGCAUAAGCCAGCUUGACUGCGAGCGUGACGGCGCGAGCAGGUGCGAAAGCAGGUCAUAGUGAUCCGGUGGUUCUGAAUGGAAGGGCCAUCGCUCAACGGAUAAAAGGUACUCCGGGGAUAACAGGCUGAUACCGCCCAAGAGUUCAUAUCGACGGCGGUGUUUGGCACCUCGAUGUCGGCUCAUCACAUCCUGGGGCUGAAGUAGGUCCCAAGGGUAUGGCUGUUCGCCAUUUAAAGUGGUACGCGAGCUGGGUUUAGAACGUCGUGAGACAGUUCGGUCCCUAUCUGCCGUGGGCGCUGGAGAACUGAGGGGGGCUGCUCCUAGUACGAGAGGACCGGAGUGGACGCAUCACUGGUGUUCGGGUUGUCAUGCCAAUGGCACUGCCCGGUAGCUAAAUGCGGAAGAGAUAAGUGCUGAAAGCAUCUAAGCACGAAACUUGCCCCGAGAUGAGUUCUCCCUGAGACUUAGAGUCUCCUGAAGGAACGUUGAAGACGACGACGUUGAUAGGCCGGGUGUGUAAGCGCAGCGAUGCGUUGAGCUAACCGGUACUAAUGAACCGUGAGGCUUAACCUUACAACGCCGAAG
Molecule: ribosomal RNA, 2251 nt
Filed under: Salmonella enterica
Lineage: Bacteria; Pseudomonadati; Pseudomonadota; Gammaproteobacteria; Enterobacterales; Enterobacteriaceae
Description: partial 23S ribosomal RNA
Rfam family: Bacterial large subunit ribosomal RNA
Source: RNAcentral